Molecule: long non-coding RNA, 1293 nt
Organism: Bombus terrestris (buff-tailed bumblebee)
Lineage: Eukaryota; Metazoa; Arthropoda; Insecta; Hymenoptera; Apidae
Exons: 2
Source: RefSeq, a predicted model, not a curated record
UCACUGGAACGAUGGUGAUGACCCCGCGCUCCUUUUCCUCCGGCUUCCUUCUAGUUCGACGGAUCGAGCAUCGAAGCGUCGUUUUAUCGGAAGAAUGUGAAUAGUGUUGACAGUGCAUGUAUGUUGUGUUUCUGAUAUGGUUAGGCCUCUGCAAUUUUUAUGAGACAGUGUAGAAUUGGCUGUGGUAAUUUACGUAUUGUGAAGUUAUGUACGUUAUGAAGUUUGAAUGGGUGAUAUGAUAGAAAUUGGAGGAAAGGUGAAGAUUGGUGGAGGCAUUGUUCGAAGAUAUGGAUGUGUGAUAAUCCCUGGUUUAAGUAUCUUGUAUUUGUUACUUCUUCUGAAGCCUUUGGAAACUUGGGUACUGAUACAGAAAAUUGAUUGACCUUAAAAUAAAGUUAUCCUUUCUAUGCUGUUUCAUUUUAUGAAAAUAACAAAGUAAAUGAAAUAAUUUGUUAUUUCAAAGAAAAUUUGAUCAAGUUUGCUAUGAUAUAAUGAUACGUCUUAGUGUGAGUACUAAGCGUCAUAAAUUCUGUUCCAAUUUUUUUUUUGGUGGGGACAUGAACGUGACCUGAGUGAGACACAUCAGCCUGUGACUCGUGAGCUGGUCACGUAAGAGAUUAAGAAAUAAAUCGUAAAAUCGAGCAGACGUUACAGUUUAUAUGGUGAAUGUCCGUGGAUGAAAGAAUUGACAGAAGUUACAGGAGAUAAGAGCUAGAAACCUCAAUCAGGAUCGUAAAAAUAAAUAGCUAUAUCCUGUUGCUAGCUCUGAUUCGAACCUUAUUGACAAAAGUGGAGUGUUAUGAUGCGUGUGUAUUGUCAAGUAAAAUGUAUAUCACAUAGCAUCAAUUGGUGCCAUUACUUGAUGCUUUAAUUUAAGACCCCAAUGACUUCACGUCAUGGAAGUUCCUCUGUAAUCUGGGAGAAGUCUUUGUGCAUUGCACUUGGAGCAUAAUUGCUUGGAUGAUUUUCAAUGGAGUUGCCAUUCUAUUCAACGCGGUGAUCUUUUACAAAUCUGUUAUAACAUCAAAAUUACUAGAGCAACGUCAUUUUGCACGAUCCAAGUAAUAUUAUUAGCGAAAUUAUACAAAUCAGUUGAUCGUCCGAAUUGUAAAAUUUUAAAAAACACAAGUCUUUCGCAGAAAACGAAGCGUCGAUUUGAUGGAUUCGGAGGAAAUUUACGUUGGUAGCUACAAGCAGACGUUCCUGGCAACGAACCACGCCGCAAGGUUGCCUCUGUCCUUAAUUUUAGAAGCGCCGGAAAGGAACGCUUGGAGAUGGUCGUCGCGACGAAAA